RNAcentral lists this ribosomal RNA (444 nucleotides) under uncultured soil bacterium. RNAcentral's name for it is "bacterial SSU rRNA". It matches the Rfam family "Bacterial small subunit ribosomal RNA", at positions 26 to 518 of the family's 1533-position model. The record is from RNAcentral.
AGAACGAACGCUGGCGGCAUGCCUAAUACAUGCAAGUCGAACGAAGGCUUCGGCCUUAGUGGCGCACGGGUGCGUAACGCGUGGGAAUCUGCCCCUUGGUUCGGAAUAACAGUUGGAAACGACUGCUAAUACCGGAUGAUGACGAAAGUCCAAAGAUUUAUCGCCAAGGGAUGAGCCCGCGUAGGAUUAGCUAGUCGGUGAGGUAAAGGCUCACCAAGGCGACGAUCCUUAGCUGGUCUGAGAGGAUGAUCAGCCACACUGGGACUGAGACACGGCCCAGACUCCUACGGGAGGCAGCAGUAGGGAAUAUGGACAAUGGGCGAAAGCCUGAUCCAGCAAUGCCGCGUGAGUGAUGAAGGCCUUAGGUUGUAAAGCUCUUUACCCGAGAUGAUAAUGACAGUAUCGGAAGAAUAAGCCCCGGCUAACUCCGUGCCAGCAGCCGAC